CAGGGACGAGCACAUGCAAGUCGAACGAUGCUUUCGGGCAUCAAGGCGCACGGGUGCGUAACGCGUGGGAAUCUGCCCUUGGGUUCGGAAUAACAGCGAGAAAUUGCUGCUAAUACCGGAUAAUGACGUAAGUCCAAAGAUUUAUCGCCCAGGGAUGAGCCCGCGUAGGAUUAGCUAGUUGGUGGGGUAAAGGCCUACCAAGGCGACGAUCCUUAGCUGGUCUGAGAGGAUGAUCAGCCACACUGGGACUGAGACACGGCCCAGACUCCUACGGGAGGCAGCAGUGGGGAAUAUUGGACAAUGGGCGAAAGCCUGAUCCAGCAAUGCCGCGUGAGUGAUGAAGGCCCUAGGGUUGUAAAGCUCUUUUACCCGGGAUGAUAAUGACAGUACCGGGAGAAUAAGCUCCGGCUAACUCCGUGCCAGCAGCCGCGGUAAU
Molecule: ribosomal RNA, 436 nt
Filed under: uncultured bacterium
Lineage: Bacteria
Description: bacterial SSU rRNA
Rfam family: Bacterial small subunit ribosomal RNA
Source: RNAcentral